This 61-nucleotide small nuclear RNA is filed under the name Rhinopithecus roxellana (golden snub-nosed monkey). RNAcentral's name for it is "U7 small nuclear RNA (ENSRROG00000019704.1)". It matches the Rfam family "U7 small nuclear RNA". From Rfam's summary of the family: Animal histone pre-mRNAs are spliced by a different mechanism than nuclear pre-mRNAs and self-splicing introns. This processing involves the U7 snRNP, which contains only one RNA species: U7. Lineage: Eukaryota; Metazoa; Chordata; Mammalia; Primates; Cercopithecidae. The record is from Rfam by way of RNAcentral.
GAGUGUUACAGCUUUCGAAUUUGUCUAGCAGGCUUUCUGCUUUUUACUGGAAACUGCCCCC